GGGCGUGUACCCAAGUGGCCAAAGGGGGCAGACUGUAAAUCUGCUGGCAUCGCCUUCGGAGGUUCGAAUCCUCCCGCGCCCA
Molecule: transfer RNA, 82 nt
Filed under: Phycisphaerae bacterium
Lineage: Bacteria; Pseudomonadati; Planctomycetota; Phycisphaerae
Also listed under: 1 other name
Description: tRNA-Tyr
Rfam family: tRNA
About the family: Transfer RNA (tRNA) molecules are approximately 80 nucleotides in length.
Source: RNAcentral